Molecule: ribosomal RNA, 120 nt
Filed under: Peromyscus maniculatus bairdii (prairie deer mouse)
Lineage: Eukaryota; Metazoa; Chordata; Mammalia; Rodentia; Cricetidae
Source: RNAcentral
GUCUACAGCCAUACCACUCUGAACAUGCCCAAUCUCUUCUGAUCUUGCAUGCUAAGCAGGGUCAUGCCUGGUUAGUACUUGGAGGGGGGAACCACCUGUGACUACUGGGUACUGUAGGGG